GACGAACGCUGGCGGCGUGCCUAAUACAUGCAAGUAGAACGCUGAAGGAGGAGCUUGCUUCUCUGGAUGAGUUGCGAACGGGUGAGUAACGCGUAGGUAACCUGCCUGGUAGCGGGGGAUAACUAUUGGAAACGAUAGCUAAUACCGCAUAAGAGUAGAUGUUGCAUGACAUUUGCUUAAAAGGUGCAAUUGCAUCACUACCAGAUGGACCUGCGUUGUAUUAGCUAGUUGGUGGGGUAACGGCUCACCAAGGCGACGAUACAUAGCCGACCUGAGAGGGUGAUCGGCCACACUGGGACUGAGACACGGCCCAGACUCCUACGGGGGGCAGCAGUAGGGAAUCUUCGGCAAUGGACGGAAGUCUGACCGAGCAACGCCGCGUGAGUGAAGAAGGUUUUCGGAUCGUAAAGCUCUGUUGUAAGAGAAGAACGAGUGUGAGAGUGGAAAGUUCACACUGUGACGGUAUCUGACCAGAAAGGGACGGCUAACUACGUG
RNAcentral lists this ribosomal RNA (495 nucleotides) under uncultured bacterium. RNAcentral describes it as "partial 16S ribosomal RNA". It matches the Rfam family "Bacterial small subunit ribosomal RNA", at positions 28 to 507 of the family's 1533-position model. The record is from RNAcentral.